UCACAGAAUAAUAAUAUUAAUAUAAAUAUUUGAAAUGAUUAAAGGAAUUCAUUUAAAGAUCAAAAAAUCAGAAGUAGUAAAUUUUCUAUAUUUUCGAUAGUAUAAUAGCUCCACUCACUCUCUCUCUCUCUCUCUCUCUCUCUCUCUCUCUCUCUCUCUAUAUAUAUAUAUAUAGUUUUGCUAGAAUACUCUCAAAAGCACCAAGGGGUUGGUGUUUUUGAGUUUUUAGCCAUUGGUCGAUGGAGAGAUGUAGAAUUGAGAUGAUGGUGGUAGGUGGUGGUAGGUGGAAUAGUGUUUCAUCCAAAGGUUAUUAGUAAUUAAGGAGCAGAUUCAAAGGUUAGAAACUCAAAAGCACCAAGGGGUUCUAGCUCAAUUAUAUAUAUAUAUAUAGAGUGCAGCUAAUAUGCUUCUGGAAGCACGGAGCGCUCCGUGCUUCCAAGUUUUUUCGAUGUUGGGACUUUCAAAUUGAUGAUCGGCUCCGAAAAACUUGAUCUAGAGUAUUUGAAGUAUCUAGAAAAUAAAUUUUGUGAUUUUUCGAUAUCAUUUGCCUAGUGAUCGAAGGGAAUCAAAAUCAAUUAAUUUUAAUGGUCGUAGUGAGCCGUUUGCAAGUUUAACGGUGUAGAAAUAUCCAAAUCACGUGAAAUUUUGAUAGAAAAUUCUUUAUACUAUAUAAAACAAGAUCAAUAUUUUUGAUCUAAAAUUUUAAUAUUAUAUUAUCACGUUUUGUACGAUUUUUAUUUUCAACCAUUGAUUUUAAGCCCUUUAGUUCACUAGGCAAAUGAUAUAAAAAAAUUGUAAAAUUUAUUUUCUAAAUACUUUGAAUACUCUAGAUCAAGUUUAACGGAGCCAAUCGACAAUUUGAAAGUCGCAGCAUCGAAAACGACCUAGAAGCACGAAAGGCUCCGUGCUUUCAGAAGCAUAGUAGCCCCACUCUCUCUCUCUCUCUCUCUCUCUCUCUCUCUCUCUCUCUCUCUCUCUCUAUAUAUAUAUAUAUAUAUAUAUAUAUAUAUAUAUAUAUAUACUAUUUAUAAAAGCGUGAGUUUUGAAUUUUUUCCCUUUCCAAAAUGUCUCUAUCUUUUUUACUAAUAUUGUCAUGUCCGGUAAUUUUCAACUAUCCAUUUUAAACAAAUCUUUAAAUAAGAAUUUAUUCUCAAAUAUAAAUCUUAAGUUUUCACCGUUUUAUCUCAUCCAACGAAUAAAAAUAAAAGUAUCUGUCAUUUUUGUUGACAAAAAUACCCUCCAUAUGCGUUAUCUCCUAUAUACACCGCAUUUUUUAAAUAUUUUUUUUCUAUCCACCAAUAAUGUAAUACGUAAAACUAAAUUUAUCUCUUAUCUAACGUAAUACCCACCAAUCACGUACUUCCGCUAAUCACGUAAUACGUAAAAUUAAAUUUAUUUGCUAUCCACGUGUUUUCUCAAAUAUUUUUUCUUCUCAAACAUAAUAUCUGCCAACACGUAGUAUUCAAAAUUAAAUUUUAAAUUUGUAAUUCCCACCAAAAUUUAAUACCCGCGAAUUUGAUAAUUUAAAUUUUAAUUUAUUAUAGUAGAUAUUUCCUUACAUAAGAUAGUAGAUUUAAUUUUGACGAGUAUUAAAAUUUGGCGCGUAAUAAAAGCGUUAAAUAUUGUUAAAAAAUUUUAAUACCUUCAAAUCAAAACUAAAUCAUUAAUUAAAUAUAAUUUGAAAUAUUUUUAGUAAAAUAUUUAUUAUUUAAAUAAUGCGUCAUAAAAGUGUAGAAUAUUUCUAAAAAAAAAAAUUAAUACCCGCCUAAUCAAAACUAAAUCGUUAAUUAAAUAUAAUUUUAAAUAUUUUUAGCAAAAUAUUCAAUGUUUAAAUAAUACCCACCAAAAUAUUCUCCGCAUUCUCAAAUAUAAAAUAUAUUUUAUCCAUUUUAAAUAAAUCUUCAAAUAAUAAUUUAUUCUCAAAUAUAGAUCUUAA
RNAcentral lists this long non-coding RNA (1936 nucleotides) under Ananas comosus (pineapple). RNAcentral's name for it is "long non-coding RNA (ACOM_LNC038493)". Lineage: Eukaryota; Viridiplantae; Streptophyta; Magnoliopsida; Poales; Bromeliaceae. The record is from RNAcentral.